Molecule: transfer RNA, 76 nt
Filed under: bacterium
Lineage: Bacteria
Also listed under: 3 other names
Description: tRNA-Asn
Rfam family: tRNA
About the family: Transfer RNA (tRNA) molecules are approximately 80 nucleotides in length.
Source: RNAcentral
GCCUGAUUAGCUCAGUUGGUAGAGCACUCGGCUGUUAACCGAUAGGUCGUAGGUCCGAGUCCUACAUCAGGCGCCA